AGGACACAUUGAGCACUGAUUUUUCGAACGCGCAUUGCGGCCUCGGGUCCUGCCCGGGGCCUCGCCUGUCUGAGGGUC
Molecule: ribosomal RNA, 78 nt
Filed under: Anelosimus rupununi
Lineage: Eukaryota; Metazoa; Arthropoda; Arachnida; Araneae; Theridiidae
Description: partial 5.8S ribosomal RNA
Source: RNAcentral